This 270-nucleotide ribosomal RNA is filed under the name uncultured bacterium. Its description in RNAcentral is "partial 16S ribosomal RNA". It matches the Rfam family "Bacterial small subunit ribosomal RNA", at positions 524 to 795 of the family's 1533-position model. The record is from RNAcentral.
UACGGAGGGGGUUAGCGUUGUUCGGAAUUACUGGGCGUAAAGCGCACGUAGGGGGACUAUUAAGUCAGAGGUGAAAUCCCGGGGCUCAACCCCGGAACUGCCUUUGAUACUGGUAGUCUUGAGUUCGAGAGAGGUGAGUGGAAUUCCGAGUGUAGAGGUGAAAUUCGUAGAUAUUCGGAGGAACACCAGUGGCGAAGGCGGCUCACUGGCUCGAUACUGACGCUGAGGUGCGAAAGUGUGGGGAGCAAACAGGAUUAGAUACCCGGCGUC